AGAAUACACACAGGUGAAACUCCUGGCCAAAUACCCCAUAUUCAAGCUUUGCUACAGAAAUCCAUCUUUAAGAAUGAGGAACUCUUUCCUACCUGAGAUACGAAGGGAGGCAUGACCAAGCUGUAUCAAAAGUACCCUGUCUGCUCUUGACUCCAUUCAUGGAGGAACUUCUGUCUCAGACUACUGGACGGAUUCCACAUGAGCAGAAGCUGGCCUGGAAAUAAGCUACUAUCUGAAAAACAAAGGGCUGUAAUGAGGUGGCUGGCCACGGAUUCUCUGAAAAUGAAAUAUUCUCCCAUACGCUGUUGUUGGUUGACUUGUGGUGAGCAUAUGACUCUCCUUGCUACAUAUAUGGGAUUGGAGGAUACUGGUUUUGGGUCCAUGAUGUGUACUUUAUGUUGCCUUGAGAAGCGAUGAUGACUUAAAUUUCACGUACAAUGGUAUGAUGCUGAGGCCCAGCCUUGGAGACAGUUGUGGAAACCAACAUGAGGAAAAUGAUGAUGAUCCCUUCUGUACGAUUGAGUUUGGUGCUUGAGAACUUGAAGUACCAGAGGCCAUCAUGUGGAGCUUGUGGAUAUGCUCCUCCAUAAAAAUUUCCCAUGUUAUCCUUAUACUUUAAUCAUUAUCCCAGUUCCUGGGCAUUUUAGCAUUCGCUGAGCACCACAACUCACUUUGUGACUUUUAGUGGAAAAUUCUUUUCAGAAUGGCUGCAUGGCAUGAACUGUCAUAAAGGAGUGAUUGACUUCGAUUGGUUGUCAUGACCAAUGGUUUACCAGUCACUGAGGGUCAUCAAUCAAGGGGGUGUUUCAGGUCUUGGAGGCAUGCUGCACCUGAACCAAUGUGUGCAGCUUUUCUCUCAAGCAAUGGUUGAAACUGGACAAAAAGGCACCUUGAGAUGAUCUUGGCAUGUUGUUCUAGGAUGCUCAUGCUUCUUUUCCAAAUGGAGGGUAAAUAGACUUUUGUCCUGCUCUAAGGAAAAGAGAGAAUGAGCUUUGUUUAAUAAUAGUCAAUGUAUCUGUGGCUCAUGAUGUGAAUGACCAUGUCCUCAGCUGGGCACCUUCUGGUAACUUAGUUCAGAAUGGUAUCACAGAGCAAAGAGAAUCCACUGGUCUCCUGGUGAGAGGGGGCACACAAGUCAAUAAUGCCUCUCAAACAUUUUCCAACCUCCACCUUUCUUCAUAACUCAAGAUAUAAGAACACCCACAGGUGAAAUCCCUGGCAAAAUGCCCCAUAAUCAAGCUUUGCUAUGGAAUCAAUCUUUGAGAAUGAGGAAUUCUUGGCCACCUGAGAUAUGAAGGAAGACAUGUACAAGCUGUAUAAAAAGUACCCUGUCUGGGCUUGACUUCAAUCAUGGAGGAACUUCUGUCUCAGUCUACUGGAUGGAUUACACAUGAGCAGGCAUCUAAUUUCAACAUUAUGUGGAUAAACCGAUUGUAUGAGACAGCAAAAUUAGAACCUGGCCUGGAAAUAAACUGCUAUUCCAAAAACAAAGGGCUGUAACAACGUGGAUGGCCACAGAUCCUCUGAAAAUGAAAUAUUCUCCCAUACGCUGUUGCUGGUUGAUGUGUGAAGCUGGCCUGGAAAUAAGCUGCUAUCCCAAAAACAAAGGGCUAUAACAAGGUGGCUGACCACAGAUCCUCUGGAAAUGAAAUAUUCUCCCAAACGCUGUUCCUACUUGACUUGUGUGGAAAAUUCUGCUCAGAAUGGCUACAAGGCAUGCACCGUGGUAGAGGAGAGAAAGACUCGAUUCGUUAUCAUGAACAAUGGUUUACUAGUCACUGCCAGUCAUCAAUCAAGGAACUGUCCUUCAGCUUGGAGUCAAGUGAGACCUUCUCCAGUGCAUGCAGUUUUUCUCUCAAGAACUGGUUGAAACUGGACAAAAAGGUGCUUUGAGAUGCUCUUGGCAUGCUGUUCUAGGAGGCCCAUUAUUCUUUUCCAAACGGAGGGCAAAUAUACUUUUGUCCUGCUCUAAGGAAAAGAGAGAAUCAGGCUUGUUUUAUAAUAGUCAAUGUAUCUGUGACUCUUGAUGUAAAAGGCCAUGUCCUCAGUUGGGCACCUUCUGGAACUCAGAGAGCUUGGAAGGGUAUCACAGACCAAAGAUAAUCCACUGGUCUCCUGAUGAGAGGGGACAAACAAGUAAAAAAUUACUGUCCAACAUUUUUCAUACCACCACCUUUCUUCAGAACUCAAGAUAUGAGAACACACAGGGUAAAUCCCUGGCAAAAUGCCCCAUA
Carlito syrichta (Philippine tarsier) is the source of this 2234-nucleotide long non-coding RNA. RefSeq lists it as uncharacterized. The transcript is spliced from 5 exons. The record is from RefSeq and is a predicted model, not a curated record. NCBI's taxonomy places the organism in Eukaryota, Metazoa, Chordata, Mammalia, Primates, Tarsiidae.